This is a long non-coding RNA of Hevea brasiliensis (rubber tree), 350 nucleotides long. RefSeq lists it as uncharacterized. Lineage: Eukaryota; Viridiplantae; Streptophyta; Magnoliopsida; Malpighiales; Euphorbiaceae. The record is from RefSeq and is a predicted model, not a curated record. The transcript is spliced from 2 exons.
AGGGCGUAGUGGCGUACCUGUUCUGUCUCGAAAGGAAGAACCCCGAUGAUCCGUCCCUGUCGUCGUGAAGUAGCGUCUGCGAUGCUCUGCUGUCUUCGUGAGGUUGAGGAAAAGCGGUUGUGCUGAGGGAGUGGUGUGGCUGCAUUAGGAGACGACACUCAAGUAUCACAUGUCCCUUCUUCUUACAGUAAUUGCACACAUUCGUCUUCUUGCAAUGAGACUGUAUAUGCCCCAUUUCUCCACAAAAUCUGCACUGAAUUGUUCCAUUUUCCCUAGUCAUUUUCUUCAUUGGUGGUCUACUAUAAAAAGCAAAAAAGAUAGUACCAACAUUAUUAGUUUUUGCAUCUAAA